Molecule: long non-coding RNA, 28160 nt
Filed under: Nicotiana tabacum (common tobacco)
Lineage: Eukaryota; Viridiplantae; Streptophyta; Magnoliopsida; Solanales; Solanaceae
Description: long non-coding RNA (NTAB_LNC006878)
Source: RNAcentral
CACUGCCCUCUUAAUUCCCAUUGAUUUCUAAGCCUAUUUUCUCAAUUCAACUAAUAGUUUGCUCAAUUGAAAUUAGAGCAAAUCCACAUACCCAUUUCUAGUCUUUGAAGAGAAUUUCAAACAAACCCAGCAUAAUAUUGCAAUCAGAUUCUCAUUCAAUAUACUAAUUCCAGAUGUCUAAUCAUAUAAGUACACGAAUGAAAAGAACAACAACAAAAUUUUUAUUCAAAUCCCAAACACACAAGGAAGAAUAUUGAAAAGUAAUUAGGAACAAGGUUUAGAAAUGGACCUCAAACAGAGUUGACGAACUCCGAAGCGAAACCGUGGACGAGCUGAUCUCACCAAACCGAGCUCGGACUCACCUCAACAACAUCACAGUCAAACUCCAUAUUUGGGAAUCACAGUCCAAAUCGGAAAGAAGAAACGCAGUCUAUAUUUUUUGGUUUGGAUUUAUUGGAAUUUUAAGAAGACAAAGUGUUGGAUUUGUGAAAUCUCAACGUGAGCUAAACAAAGAAUUAGAAGAAUUCAAUGUGAGCGAAACAUCUUCCAUUUCUUUUUAAGAACAUAUUUUAAAAUUUGUGAGCUCAAAGCUAUGAACCAAUAUGCACAAAUUUAUCAAUCAUUGCAGCUCAGUUAGGUCCUUCUCUUCAAGUGAUGUGUCGCUGCUUGUUGCUCUCUUUAUUUGUUAGGGAUUUUGGAAAUACAGUGAGUAAUGGAACUAAAAAAUAGGGAUUCAUUUACUAAAUUUUAACUUGGGGAAGAUAACUCAUUUUUGGGAGUGUUUCAAUUUUAAGAAUUGGUUAGGCAGAGGUCUGUGUCGCUGGUGUUUUGGGAGUUGCGGCUAGAAUGUUGAAGAGAGGUGGGGUGCGGCUGGGUUCUUUAGAAUUAGGAAGUUUGGCUGCUUUUUCAUGUCAAAAUUAGAGUGAGAACGAUGGAAAUUUUUUCAGGGGGUGGGCAGUCGUUCUUCAGUCUUAGCUCUAGGGUUGGGGGGGUUAUAAUUAGAUUUUUAUAUGGCAUAGGGGAAAGAUCUUGACCAUAGAAUUGAAUUGAAUAAAUGGCUAUGAUUUAGAAUGGGAGAUGGGUCAGAUGGGUUAUAGAUCUUGCGUUUAUUGGGCUUAAGUAUCUCAAAAUUGUGCUAAAUAUGCUUGGGUUUUUUAUAAAUCUGAAAAUCCUAGCCCAAUCUAACUGUUCUAAAAUAUUAAUGACCUUAGUUUAAAUAUAAAAUCAGACAAAGUAAAAUUAUUUUUGGGCUUUUAAUUAUUUAUUAUAUAUAUAUUUUUCAAAAGUCUUAGUUAAUAUAAAAUGGACUAAAAUUCUAGAAAAUUAAAGUUAACCUAAAUAAAUCCGUAAAAAUACUAGGAAUAUUAAAAAAAAUUACGCCGGUCAAAAAUUAAGUGCUUACAGCUGCCCCUCUUUGCUUGAAAAUACGAAGAGUUUUCGGAGCAAAGAACAAUAAGCAACGUAAUUGAUUUAUGACCCGACGCUUAUUCAAAAGAAAAGAAAGAUGGGUAAAAGAUUAUGACCGAGCCCUGGUAUCUGAGCUACCUACAUAUCCUUGGCUAUAAAGGUAUCAGGCCACGUGUAGUUCAGAAGUGGAUGAAGUAAUGGAGUGUGUGGAGAGGAUGAGAGAGUCGAGUGAGGUACUGUUUCGUCGAGGUUCCGGUCCGCGGUCGUGUUAUUACAUCAAAAUCAAAAUCUAAAAGAACUAAACAAGCCUAUCAGCUAUGAGUUACAAGAUUCUUAUCUAUAAAUCUUCUGAAGCUUUAUCUUGAGUUUUGAAUGGUUCUUCAUGCAGACUUUGAUUUGAACCUUGAUGCUUGCUAGUUGUAGGUGCUGGUUCAUUCUUCCACGGCUUCUUCGGAUCAAGACCAGACAUGUAGUGCUCGUGACUUAAGUCAUAUCUUGAGCAGUUCACAUUUUUCAUCUGCUUCUGCAUUUUGGAUUCAUUUCUUUUUUUUCUUUUCUUUUAUUCUGGAUUGAGACUACUUUUGUUGGUCAUCUCGGACCGUUGACUCGCAUUCUUGAGGCGAUCUUCAACUACUUCUAACUUGAAUUGAAUUCUAAAAUGACUUCCCUUGUUCUUCAGGUGGGAGCCUGCUACUGGCUUGAAAUUUGAAGUAACUCCGAAACAAAUUCUCUCAUUCUCCAGGUGGGUUCCUGCAAUCAAAACAACAAAACAAACAAAUUUUCUGCUCCGGUUUGCACUCGGAAGAUUUGUGAGUUUGUAGCAAAAAUGUAAACCACUUAUGCUAUUAAUGCAAUGAUGAGAGUAAACUAAAGACUCUACUAGGAUGUGCAACUCCUGUGAGUAAAACUAAGAAACUUUGACUAGCAAAUGUGUCUGCUAAAAAUAAAACCCGAAUGAUCCAAACUAGGAAAUGCGUCUCCUAGGGAGGAAAUCUCAAUUUAGGAAGUGCGUCUCCUAAAAGUAUAUCCUGAAAGACCUAGACUAGGAAGUGCGUCUCCUAGGGAUGAAACUUUAAUAACUCAAACUAGGAAAUGUGUCUUCUAGGAAUGAACUUAAAUGACCCAAAACUAGGAAGUCCGUCUCCUAGGGGUAAAAUCUCAAUUUAGGAAGUGAGUCUCCUAAAAGUGUAUCCUAAAGACCCAAAAUAGGACGUGUAUCUCCUAGGGGUGAAACAUGAAUGAACCAAACCAGGAAGUGCAUCUCCUAGGGCUAAACUUAAAUGACCUAAACUAGGAAGUGCGUCUUCUAGGGGUAAAAUCUCAAUUUAGGAAGUGUGUCUCCUAAAAGUAUAUCCUGAAAAACCCAGACUAGGAAAUGCAUCUCCUAGGGGAGAAACUUCAAUGACUCAAACUAGGAAGUGCCUCUCCUAGGAAUGAACUUAAAUGACCCAAACUAGGAAGUGUGUCUCCUAGGGGUAAAAUCUCAAUUUAGGAAGUGUGUAUCCUAGAAGUAUAUCCUGAAAAACCCAGACUAGGAAGUGCGUCUCCUAGGAAUAAAUUUAAAUGACCCAAACUAGGAAGUGUGUCUCCUAGGAAUAAACUUAAAUGACCCAAACUAGGAAGUUCAUCUCUUAGGGGUGAAAUCUCAAUUUAAGAAGUGCGUCUCCUAAAAGUAUAUCCUGAAAAACCCAAACUAGGAAGUGCGUCUCCCAGGGGUAAAAUCUCAAUUUAGGAAGUGAGUCUCCUAAAACAAAAUAUAACUUGAAAGACCCAUACUAGGACGUGCGUCUCCUAGGGUUAAAACUUCAAUGACUCAAACUAGGAAGUGCAUUUCCUAGAAAUAAACUUAAAUGUCCCAAACUAGGAAAUGCGUCUCUUAGAGGUGAUAUCUCAAUAUAGGAAGUGCGUCUCCCAAAACAAAAAUAUAACCUGAAAUACCUAGACUAGAAAGUGCGUCUCCUAGGGGUGAAACUUGAAUGAACCAAACUAGGAAUAGAAUUGGGGCAUUACACCUGAAAAAUUCAAGCUUCCAAGAUUUGAUAUGAACAUAGCCUUCAUCCUUAUUUCAAACAAAGAAAACUUGUGAGUUUAAAACAUGGUAGUUAGUUUGUGGACUUGACCUUGAAGGUGAUUGUUUCUACACUUGCCAUGAUAACUUUGAUUUAAACUUGGAAGACCUUGAUUGUUAUUGGCUAACCACUUUCUCUGUCAACCUUUAUCACAGAAAACACCUCUGAUUCGUUCAGGCCCAAUACCCUCUAUAUAUUGCAUUGUGCUUAUGAAUUGACAUUUACCAAACCUUUGCAUUUCACAUGAAUUCCAAAGCACAUCAAUUGUUAUCAACUCAGUGCGCAUGCCACUUUCCUGACUUAUACCGCUUUGAUGUGCUAGCCAGAUUCCGUUUUGUGCAAUUGAAAAUCUAGUAAAAAAUUUGAAAUCAUUUCUCACUUGUUCUGAUCAAACGGACUCAAAAGUGGACGUGAACAAUGAAAAAGGAACAAAGUAAGGGGCAAUGGAAAGGGAUGAUAUCUAACUAGAAAAUUACAAAGUAGAAACUUAUCUGAUGUGGAUACCAACUCUAAUGGCCAUGACAUGAACUUUUGGAUUAAGUGGCCUAAUCUAUCAAGCAAGUCUAAUAUUCAACUCUUGUUGUACCUCUUCGCCGUGAAAUUGGGCUUCAAUGCUCCAAUUAUCCUAUCUGAUCCACGAUCCUUAUUCGACUUGUAGUGCCCGAAGGGUUUUCACCAUUAAGCCUCUAUCAUUUUUCCUUUCUCUCAACUCCCCGUCGCCUUAUGGUUCCUAUAAAGGUUUUCACCGAUAAGACUCUCUUAUUUUUUCUUUUCUUCUUAUUUCCUCUGAUUCUGCAGAUGACAAGGCAUUAACCACGAUAGAAAUAUCAUAUGCUCCUGGCAUGUCUGACUCAGCACUCUCAAAGAUUAUCUGGAAGGUCUUUUAGACUGUAAUAUGGCUUUUGGACAGUAUUAGAAAUAAGGGAUAUCAUAAAGGCUCAAAAUAACUAAGACAAUAGGGUUAAUUUAUCUACAACUUUUGGAAUCAAUUAUAAAAACUUACCCUAAUUUCUAAAACAAGGAAAUUUGAUUCUUUUUUUUUCUUUUUUUUUGAGAUGAAAUUUCUAAGAAAGACUGUCCCACUCUCGACUUCGUGGGAUUAUGAAAUAUUUUAUUUGGUGCGACCGAAUCUUAAGGCUGCCUACAUAUCUUGUGGUAACAAGAAUCGAGUCGAACGUAGUUCAAAAGAAUACUUUUUGUUACUAUUUUUCUUUUUCUUUUUUUUUCUUUUUCCUUCUUUUUUUCGUUAUCUCUUUUUUUUCCUUUUGGAAUGAACUUUCUAAAACAAACCUAUGGGGACAUGAACUUUUUUCUUAUGACUCUAAAUUGAUUCCAAAAGAGGGGAGGUCAAAGAAAUUAGCACAGGCUCAAAAGGAUAUUCAAGGGUAUAAAGUGUUUGGGUAGCUGAAAGAUGGCCUCCCAAUCUCUGAAAAUGCCAAGUACAAUACCUGCAACUUGAUGAUGAAAAUUGAAGAUCAUGCACAAUAUUUCUUUUACAGCUUCGGCAUUGAUAUCACUCAUAUGUCUUCCACUUCUUUUUAAGUGCCUUGUUAAGUACAUAGCUCUUGUUGGGUGAUUUCUUCUUCACGAUGGAUACCCUCCGUCUGUUUGAAGAAAAUUCCCUUGGCUUUAUCUCGUAACUUGAGAUGCACUUAAACUCAAAGUUGUUCGCUUCAAAUUGUCUAGGAUGCACUCUCCUUUAAUGAAUUCUUGUCAUCCUAUUAACUUUCUAAAUUAUCUGCCCCAGUUUCACACAGUUCAGGAUUUAAAUGAUCUCAAAAUGUCCAAAUCUAUACUUAUUUCCCUCAAACGUCCCUAUCAUCUUUAAAAUUAUUUAUUGCUUCAUAAUUAGACUAACAUUUAAGACCAUGCCUAGAAUUAUACGUGCAUGUCAUGUCACUAGAGCCAGCAUGAAAUGAACUAUAAAAGGAAAAGAGAACUAAACAAAACUGACUAGAAAUAACAGAUAACAGGAAAUUGUAUUAGACAGAUGGUAAAAGGGUUUGAACCAAAAAACAAGCAAAAUAAACUGGGUUACAACCCUGGAACAAAACUAGAUAACACUAAAUGAGUUACUAUGACUAAACGAACUAGGCAAAACAAAAGGAUAGAAGGGUUUGAGUCACAAGACCAUAUCCGGAUUACAACCCUGAAAUAACCCGAACAACAGAAAUGAUAACAAAAUAAACCACCAAGACUCCUCCCCGGCUAGAUAAGAAAAGAGCAUCUUUCUAAUUACCAAGCUCGACAUCUUAGCCACUGAGUUCCAUAUCAAUAUUACCAAGACUAUUACAAAUUUCAAUAUCAUUAACUUCAGUCAGCAAGUUCUCAAGAGGAUUCUCAUACUCUAUGUCACCACGCAUCAUCCCCACAAAGUGUGCAUCAUCGUGUGCAGGUAAAGGAUUCUGUGUGAUAUUCUAGGUGUCACUGUCCUGGAUCACAAUUAUGCCUUCUUGCAUCAUUCUUUCUAUUUCCCUUUUCAAAGCACGACAUUCUUCAAUGCUAUGCCCUUGGACAUUAGAGUGGUACAUGUACCGUAAAGUAGGAUCAAAACCAUUUACAUAUGGGUUCGGAGUAUAGCUGAGGAGCAGCCCAAUCAGGCCAGAAUGUUUUAACUUUUCAAACAAGCUUGUGUAGGAUUCUCCGAUUGGCGUGAAACUAUUUAUUUGCCUUUGUUCCCCUAUAUGCCUCAGUUUUCUAGGGUUGUUGGAUGCUUGAAUAUGUUAUGAAGGCAAAAGUGCAUUAUGCGGUGUUGGCGCUCGCCAUAAGGAGUGACCUAGUGGUUGGAUAGAUGACUGGACAUUGUUCGGAGGAUAAUACUGGGGUGGAUAAUGUGGAGCUCGGGGAUAGGUUUGGGAUUGGGGUUGAGGCUGAGUAUAUUGGUGAGGUGGACCCGUUGGACCAUGUCGUGAUCCUGAGACAACCAUGGCAACAUCAUCAUGUUCCUUCUGACCCAGCAAGCUUUCUGUGUCGUUCUGAAUUGCUUGUGUUGUGGAUUUUAAAGCAGAAUAGCUCAUGAUCUUGCUUGACUUUAGCCCAUCUUCCACCAUUUUUCCCAUUUUACCACAUCAUUAAAAGGCUUACCCACAGCCGAGAUCAAACGUCCAAAGUAAAUAGGCUCUUGGGCUUGAAGAAAAUACUCAACCAUCUCGUCUUCUUCCAUCGGUGGAUUGACUCGGGCAACUUGCUCUCUCCAUAUGAGCCUGUAUUCCCUAAAGCUUUCAUUAGGCUUCCUUUCCAUCUUGGUGAGGGACAUGCGAUCUGGGACAAUUUCUAUAUUGUACUGAAAGUGUCGGGCAAAGGCCUGAACUAUAUCGUCCCAGGUGUAGCACCUGCUAGCGUCUUGGCGGGUGUACCACUCCAGAGCUGCCCCACUCAGACUCUAACUGAAAUACGCAAUCAAUAAUUUGUCCUUCGCACCGGCGCCUCUCAUCUUACUGCAGUAGCCUCUCAAAUGGGCCACGGAAUCUCCAUGUCCGUCAUACAAAUCAAACUUUGGCAUCUUAAACCCAGUAGGUAGUUGGACAUCAGGAAACAAGCACAAGUCUUUCUAAGACAUGCUCAUCUGGCUCCCUAUCCCUUGCAUGUUUUUUAAAGACUACUUUAAGAUUCUCACCUUCCUGGAUAUCUCAACUUGCUUGAAUGUCUUAGCAGGCUUUUCAGUUUCACCAAGAGGCUCAAAAUAAGGAGCGUGAGAGUAUGGAUCCGAGACCUUGAAAGUUGGUUCUGGAGCAUAGUGUUGGGCAUCGGGGACUUUGAACACAGUCUCGCUAGAGGAUCGAGGAAGAGUAGCUGGCGGAGGAGCUACAAAAACAUGAGUGGUUAAAGGAGUGGGGUAUGAGGUAAUUUUCGUAGGUGGAGUAUGAAAAGGUUGUGGGGAGAUAUCAGUAGCAAUAGGAAUCUGGAUUGGUGACAGUGGCGGAAUGAUGACAAGGCUUUCAGUGUAGUUAGUGGGAAAUAAUGGUAGAGCACGCCCAUUAAUCUAGGCUUGGUAUAUUUCGGUCAUCUGUCCUUUCAACCUUAGGACCUCUUCUUUCAACUCAGAUUCUAAUUCAAUAAUCUCUUUAGGCGUAACGUAUCUUUCUUAUUACAUCAUCAUAUACACGUGACAUACGGGCCUAAUAGGCCAACAUGAUCAUUUAUAAACUCAAAACAUAGCCCGACAAGGCCUUACAAUCUUUCACGUACCCGAUAUAUGUCACAAGCAUCUAAAAGUACAUAAAUGUCGGGACAGAGUCCCGCCAUACCAAACAAUACACGUCUAAAUCAUAUUAACCAAACGAGCAACUCCGAAGCAAAUGGAGUGCACCAACAUCUUCCGCUGACUUGGAGGGCUCUCGACCUGUCUAUCGGGACCUACAGGCAUGAAACGCAGCGUUCCCAAGCAAAAGGGAUGUCAGUACAAAUAGUGUACCAAGUAUGUAAGGCACAUAAAUAAAUACAUAAGAGACAUGGAAGAAAUAUAGUGUAAAUGACUCAACCUGUAAGUCUGAAUAACUUUGUAAAUCAUGUAAUAAUUAUAGUAUCAUGCAUAUGCGUAUGAAUGUCAUGUCGUUCAUAGGUACAUGUUUCAUAACAUCAUCAGCCUCUGAGGUCAUCUCAUCAUAUCAUCUUGGCCACUGUGGGCAAAAUCAUCAACGUAUACCAGCUGAACAGGUGGUGGUGCGUAUAUAACGCCAUAACCUUUCCCAUAUCUCAUAUACAUAUAUAUACAUAAAUAUAUACGCGUAUAUAACGCCAUCUAGUCACGGGACAAUGUACAUGAAUGCAAUGCAUGAAAAGUAUGUUAAUAAAAUCUUUCGGAAUUAUCAUAAAACAGAUGAUAAAGUAUUAUGACAUAUGGAAAUUCAAGAACAUAGAUAUUUCUAAUACUUCUAUGAAUAGAGUCAUUCAUGGAAUUUGUGCAUUUGCACGUUUCGCUUGUAUCGUAUGGAUCAUGUCAAAAGAAAAAAGGGAUAGCCUUAACAUAUCUGAAUCGAUUUCCUUGACAAUCCUUCUAACAUACGCCAAUCGCGACGAAACAUGUAAUGGUGAGAUCAAAAUAGGGAACAAUCUGUAUGAUCUUUUUGAGAAAGAUUCCACCGUACUCCCUUAGAAUCGCAAAUCCCACGUUGCUAUAAUAUUAAAUGGUUUUCGUAUGAAACGUUUGAAGCAACUAUGUUGCUAUUAUAGCUAUUACCCUUACUGAAGCUUUCUUUUUUAAUGUAGUAGAUGAGAGCAAUUUGUUGUAAAUUUGUAUGAAUCAGUUACAUUGUCAAUUUGUAUGAAUCUCUCGUUAAUGAAUUAGAGAGAUUCUUUUGUAUGACUCAUGUUACAAGGCCACAUAUUUUGCCUAAUUGUGCCGACUAUAUUCUAGCCAAAAGGAGUCACCCUUAGGGCCUUAGUUGGCUGCCACGUUAGGGUAGUGUCCCCCAUAUUGUUUUUUAAGCUUUAAUUGUUAAGUAAUGCAAUAUCACCUUGCCCUUUUCCGGAAAAAAUUGUACUCACCUUGUAUAAAAAUUUACUAUUUCAAUUAUGUAAAUGCAUCUUAGCUAGGUUCCCACUAAUGACUCAAUGAGGUUUGUUCUUCUUCCGCAUAUCUAUCUGCUAACAUAAACUUUCAUUUUAAGAGCUCACGAAACAAGAGAAUAUCUGUAUAUACUUCCUCGGUCCAAAAUGGCAACAAAUAGUACCGUUGUAGCCAAAUCAAUUUAAUUCAAAGCAAGUGUUGCAUUAGAAAAUAAAUAAGACUUUAAUUUUUAUCCAAAUCCACGCUUGUUUCAAUAGAUCUAUACAUACAUUUUUUUUAGAAGUACGUUUAUCCACAAUUUCUUACUUUGUUAAUCUUUAUCUAAAAAUCCAUAAUUAACCAAUCCACAUAAUUAAAAAUUAUCUCAAAUUACUUAAAAUACUACUUACUUCUAACACACUUUAUACACCUUACUAUUAUGGCCAUAUGGUACCUUGUAUGGUAUUAGUUCAUAAAUACCGAAUAUUUUAGCUUAGGCCGUAUUUUAUCCCAAAAUAAAUCUCAUUCCCAAAAUUACGUCGAUUAAUCUUACGACGAAGCUUUAACGUACGAUAAUGCGGAAUAUAAUAUCUCAUUUUUGGACUUUCAUCACUUACUUAUGGUGUACUUUCACGCAUGAAAACGUGGGGUGUAACAUCAUUCCCCUCUUUGGAACAUUCGCCCUCGAAUGUUGACUGAUGCACUUAUCAUUCUCAUAACUCAUAGUUCUUGCGAAUACUUUAAUUUUCUCCUUUCCAUUUUGGCAAAUGUUCUUUGAAUAAAUCCACAGGCCAAGGCAUUUCCCCCUUUAAGCCUCUUUCUCACACCACGACUUGUAGUUGGAAUCCUUCUAAUCUCGUAAGUAUUGCUACAUUUGAUCAUGCAGCCUGUAUAAUUUUGACCUUGUAAGUGUGCCCAAUCUCUAGGCUUCAUAUGUAGAGCUUGAUAAGAUGUCCCUUUGGGCAUCUAUGAGUGUACUGAAGUUCUUUGCUUGGUACUUUGUUGAAUUCACGAAUAUUUAUCUCAUCGCAUAGGUCCGUUUAGUCCUCCGUAUGAAUUUACUGUCAUAACUCUUGCUUUAAUUUAUCAUUGCUGAGGUCUGCUACCAAAUCUCAGCUUACUCUCGUUGCUUAUUCCAUAUGUAUAAAUUUAAGUCCUUUAAUGUUUCAUCAUUACUGCUCAUCUUUAGAAUGACGGCCUAAUCUCAUCUCAUACUUUGUGACUUUUGUCCAUCCAUUGUUGAUUUACCUCCAUAUUGAUCUACAAUAUACCACUGAUAACUUGAAACUUAUUAUGUAAUACUUUUCUCCUAGGGCUUACAUUACAUCAAGGAAUAUUCAAAGUAAUUUUCCUGAUCUACUUAGCGGCAAUACUGUACUUCAAUAACUAUAUUCCAUAGCAUCCCAAGGUGAUUCUCUUACGUGGGUAUUUUAAUCCCAUACAAUUCAUGAAUCCCUUUUCUUUUAGUUUUAUUUUUAUUCGUAAUAAGGCGAUACCUACAUCCAGAAAGAAGGUUGGAAAGAGAGAUAGUUGUGAAAGAGCUGAGUGAGAGGAAUUGGAUUUUUGUAUGAUGCCUACGAUAAGUAAAUAUGAGGUUUUUAGCAGAUCAUGAGUGUACUAAAAGGUGUAAGCUUCCUGAUAAGAAGCCUUAGGGCAAGAAUGUCUACCCAUUUUUAUGGUGAAAGACAAUGAGAGAUUAAGAAGAUAAAUACAAGUUUCAACAAGCAAAAGAAGCAAGAUGAAGAAGGGUACGAGGCGCCCAGUUAAUGAAGGUUAACAGCGUUUAUAAUUAAGGCAAGGGAACAUAAGCAUUAUGAGUAAGAUGUGAUAUAUGGAUGACAACGAUAGAUCAAAAGAUGACAAUAUUACAAAACCUAUAGUCAAAUGAAGAAAGAGACGAAAGGUGAUGGGCCUUAAGAAAACAAAAUAGUAUAGGCCAUACAGUCACAUCCUCAUUUCGGGGAAUAAGUUCGUGACUCUAACAUGAUUACCAGAAGGGAGAAUUAAACCCUAGAAUAAUAGAAAUCAGUAUGGGCAAGUGAACAAGAUAAACUAAACAUGAAUUAGGGAAUGAGUAAUUUGAUAACGGUCAGCAUCAUGAGAAUUUCAUAUUGCGUUCUGGUAAUAAUAGAAUGGACAACAAAAGAAUAUUUAUAGGAAAUUCAGAGAAUGGUCAUUCAAGAAGACAUUUCCCUAAAGCAAGCAAGGGGAGCAAAGUUAAGCUUAAGGGAAUGUAUAUGCCAGUUACACUAAGUGUCACCAUUGUGAGUAAGGAAUUUUGUUAUCCUUGGUACAUAAGGAUUACCGCAAGGCGAGUAAGGGCCAUCGAUGAUGUAAAAGGAUGCCAGAGAUGAAAAGGCGAAACAUAUAUAGGCAGGUCAUCAUAGCUCCAGCUCUUAGUACUCCCCUAAAGGGGGGAAUAUGGAAUGAUAAAGGAAGAAUGGGAUAAAAAUGAGAAAUGGAUGAGAUUGCACUUAUCCAAAUGCUACAGAUAUGCUACGAUUCCAGAACAUUAUGCAAACGCGACGUCAAGGAGAAGAAGUAAGGGUUCCUGCCCAAGAUGUUAUUGAUAAUUAAGAAGCCAGUGCGAGACAUAAGUUAAGACCAAGGAAAUAACCCAAGAAACAUUUCGUGGAAUAUUGACAUGAGAAUGGAUCAACGAGUAGUUAGUAUUUGAUUCAGGAAGAGCCUAGUUAUGGCUAGUCAAAAGGAUACAGACAAGACAGUAGGUCGUGCAAGAUAAAGAUAGUAAAACCCAAUAUAGUGAAUUUAGCCCCGCAGUUAUGACAUUGUAAUACAUGAGAAAUAUUCAAAUAGGAGUUGGGGUAGUUAAAGGUACCAUAUAAGUGUUACGGAAAUAAAAGAUAGUUCCACUGGGAAGACAGUCAAAACUUCAGUUCAGAAGUAGUUGUACGAGCAGAUGAAUGUGGAGGUAAGUAACUAAGGAUAAUUACAAGUGAUCACAAACAUAAACAAUUCUCUCGGGAAUACGAUAUAAUAAGCUCGCAUCUUUACAAGAGUCAGAUGAUCCUCCCUAAGUACUACAGUGAAGGACUAGCUGAGAAAAUAAGGAAGAAGGCUUCAAUCUAAGCACAGUGACCUAAAGAGGAAAUGGUCUUGUAACAACAAUUUUACAACAACAUUGUACGUCCUCCAUAAGAAAGAGGAAUCUACCGUGGUUAAUGAACUGGAAGUAAAAAUUAAAAGAAAUAUUCGAAGAUCAUAUGAGUUGUAUGAAAAUUCCAACAUGCGUGGGAGCUAAGAUAAGCUAAGUAUGCAUGCAACAAGGGGGAAGAAAGAUCAGGAAAGGUAAUAGCUUACGUUAAAAAAAAUCUGAGAAGGAACGAAAGGAAUUAUUUGAUCAAUGAUCCUGAGUUGGUGACGUUAUGAACGCACUUAAGAGUUUGGAUUUUUAUACAUGCAGCAUAUAUGUUGACAAUCAUACAGCCAUAAAAGAUUCCGGUAUAAGUUAAAAGAAAGAAUUCAGCCAAGGUCAUAAACAAAGGAAUAAAUUGUUAAAAGAUUAUAUCAUAGAUAUUCCAUAGCGUCCAUGGAGGGGUAAAGUAAUAACUAAUAUCAUGAGCCGCAGAUUGGAAAAUAACUUAAGCCAGCAUAAAAGUCGAUCAGAAGAAGAAUGAAACUAAAGAAUUACAUCAACAAAGUAAAUCAGGAAUCUGAUUAUUGGACCUAGAAGUUAUAAGAAUCAUGAUUGAAAACAUAGUAGAAUCACUCUUAAUAUUAGAGGUGCAAGAGAGAUAGCACAACAACUAUGUUCUAUAAGGGCUCUACGAUAAAGCCAGUUAGAAGGGUACUAGUCUCAUAAGAAGUCGGUAUAAAACUCCCACGGGAUUGUGUAUGCACCAAAGGUGCAAGUAUUAUAAUAGAGCUUCAAGUUAUGGACGUGAAUUACACCUAGGUGGAAGGGAGGUCAUGAGAGAGAUAGAAGAAUCGAUGCGAGAUUUUAAGGUAAGUAAGGUAAAGGUGAACAACGUACGAGAUACUCAAAGGCAGAAGAUCAUAAAUAGUCCAUACUUCGGAUAAAAGGGCCAGAAGCACGAGGAUUCAAUAUCCAAGAAUGAUAGUGGCAUCGUCAGUGGCAUAUCUUCUAGUCAAUGAUUUCUAGGUAUCGAGAGGUCUAGUUCAGAAAGUAAAGAAGAGUUAGAGACGAUGUGAUGUCUCGCUUGAUGUUCUAAAAUAAUACAAGGAAAUUCAAGCAAGUUGAAGGAAGAUUACGAGUAGUAUAAAUAUAUAUGUAUAGGUCGCGAGCUAAAGUAUGGUAAAGCGACAAUGUUUUACGAAGACAGGAAUACGGAUAAGAAAGGGCAGUGAGAAGAUGACGAUAAUGGAUUAGGCCUCAGGAUUAGGCCCAUGAAAACAAGGGAGCUAAUGGCUUCUCUAUGUUAUAGUAAGCUCAGUAUAGCCUGAAUGGACUCAAAGGAGUUACUCUUCAUAAGUAGCAUUUAGAAGAGAUGGAAUGUUGCCCAAAUCGUAGAAUAAGGGUGUAAUUGUGAUUGAUAAAGGAUGACGUUUGGGCCUUCGAUGGGCCACGAUGGGCACCUCGUACCUUACUCAACCGAGUACCAACGUAACGUACCUUUCUUAUUAUAUCAUCAUAUACACGUGACAUACGGGUCUAAUAGGCCAACAUGAUCAUUUAUAAACUCAAAACAUAGGCCGACAAGGUCGUACAAUCUUUCACGUACAUGACAUAUGUCUACAAGCCUCUAAAAGUACAUAAAUAUCAUAAAGGUCGGGACAGAGUCCCGCCAUACCAAACAACACACGUCUAAAUCAUAUUAACUAAACGAGAAACUCCGAAGCAAAUGGAGCGUACCAACAUCUUCCGCUGAGCUGAUAACCUACUUGGAGGGCUCUCGACCUGUCUAUCGGGACCUGCGGGCGUGAAACGUAGCAUCCCCAGGCAAAAGAGACGUCAGUACGAAUAGUGUACCGAGUGUGUAAGGCACAUAAAUAAAUACAUAAGAGACAUGGAAGAAAUAUAGAGUACAUGACUCAACCUGUAAGUUUGAAUAACUUUGUAAAUCAUGAAAUAAUUAUAGUGUCAUGCAUAUGUGUAUGAAUGUCAUGUCAUAGAUAGGUACAUGUUUCAUAAUAUCAUCAGCCUCUGAGGGUAUCCCAUCAUAUCAUCUUGGCCACUGUGGGAAAAAUCAUCAACGUAUACCAGCUGAUCAGGUGGUGGUGCGUAUAUAACGCCAUAAUGUUUUUCAUAUCCCAUAUACAUACAUAUAUACGCUUAUAUAACGUCAUCUAGUCACGUGUCAAUGUACAUGAAUGCAAUGCAUGAAAAGUAUGUUAAUAAAAUCUUUCGGAAUUGUCAUAAGACCAUUUUGCCUUUGAGUAAUAUCAUAGAGUAACCUCUUUUCAACUUUCGUAUUUUUCUGAGACCCAUGAACAGAUGAUAAAAUAUUAUGACAUAUGGAAAUUCAAGAACAUAGAUAUUUCUAAUACUUCUAUGAAUAGAGUCAUUCAUGGAAUUUGUGCAUUUGUACGUUUCGUUCGUAUCGUAUGGAUCAUGCCAAAAGAAAGAAGGGAUAACCUUAACAUACCUGAAUCGAUUCUCUUGACAAUCCUUCUAACACACGCCAAUCGUGACAAAACACGUAAUGAUGAGAUCGAAAUAGGGAACAAUCUGUAUGAUCUUUUUGAGAAAGAUUCCACCGGACUCCCUUAGAAUCGCAAAUCCCACAUUGCUAUAAUAUUAAAUGGUUUUCGUAUGAAACGUUUGAAGCAAAUAUGUUGCUAUUAUAGCUAUUACCCUUACUGAAGCUUUCUUUCUUAAUGUAGUAGACGAGAGCAAUUUGUUGUAAAUUUGUAUGAAUCAGUUGCAUUGCCAAUUUGUAUGAAUCUCUCAUUAAUGAAUUAGAGAGAUUCUUUUGUAUGACUCAUGUUACAAGGCCACAUAUUUUGCCUAAUUGUGCCACCUAUAUUCUAGCCAAAAGGAGUCACCCUUAGGGGCUUAGUUGGCUGCCACGUUAGGGUAGUGUCCCCCAUAUUGUUUUUUUUAAGAUUUAAUUGUUAAAUAAUGCCAUAUCACCUUGCCCUUUUUCGGAAAAAAUUGUACUCACCUUGCAUAAAAUUUACUAUUUCAAUUAUGUAAAUGCGUCUUAGCUGAUUCCCACUAAUGACUCAAUGAGGUUUGUUCUUCUUCCGCAUAUCCAUGUGCUAACAUAAACUUUCAUUUUAAGAGCUCAAGAAACAAGAGAAUAUCUGUAUAUAUUUCCUCGGUCCAAAAUGGCAACAAAUAGUACCGUUGUAGCCAAAUCAAUUUAAUUCAAAGCAAGUGUUGCAUUAGAAAAUAAAGACUUUAAUUUUUAUCCUAAUCCAUGCUUGUUUCAAUAGAUCUAUAUAUACAUUUUUUUAGAAGUACGUUUAUCCACAAUCUCUUACUUUGUUAUUCUUUAUCUAAAAAUCCAUAAUUAAUUACUUCUAACACACUUUAUACACCUUACUAUUAUGGCCAUGUAGUACCUUGUAUGGUAUUAGUCUAUAAAUAUCGGGUAUUUUAGCUUAAGCCUUAUUUUAUCCCAAAAUAAAUCUCAUUCCCGAAAUUACGUCGAUUAAUCUUACGACGAAGCUUUAACGUACGAAAAUGCGGAAUAUAAUAUCUCAUUUUCGGACUUUCAUCACUUUACUUAUGGUGUACUUUCACGCAUGAAAACGUGGGGUGUAACACUAACCACCCUUCUGCUCAAUGAAGAUAACAAAAAGGAACAAAAUAAGAUCAUCACGUUAGCGUUAGGGCAUUUAUCACAUAGAAAUAUCACAUUGUGUGCAAUGCACCUAGGAAUAAUUAACGGUUCUAGAAUGACUUCGUGGGUCACAAGGUCAUUUGGCAUCAUCCCAUUUUUUUAUUUCAGUCUCUCUUUUCUUUCUUUUCUAGCACUUCUUGGCUUGCUCAUUUUUUUUCCACUUUUUUCUUUCUAAUUAUCACUAAUUUCUUUCCUUUCAUUUCUCACAUCCCACAACUUCAUCCUUCUUCUUUUUUUCUUUCUUUUUCUUUUUCUUUUAAUUUUAAAAAUGAUUCGAUCGAACCCUAUGUAGGUUGUCUACGUAUCAUGUCCCACAUGAAUCAGGUCAAGCGUAGUUCUGGAAAAGUAAUGGACAAAAUAAACUAAAAACAAAAAUCUUUUUGAUUUUUCAUUUAUAACUUUUUUCGGUGUUUUCAAAUACAAAACAGGAAAUACGAUAACGAGAGACUCGACAAACUCAACUAUACUACGACAAACUCUGACACCAACUAAAAGAAUCAGUACUACUGGACAUGACUAUAAAGUACAAAAAAUAUUAAAAAAAUAGACUCAAAACAUAGAAAAUCUCCUUAAGCAACUCUUGGAUGCAACGGUCCUAACUAAGAGGGUCCUUGGGCGUCUGUCAUGCUCGAUCUCUGAUAAAUGGAUCCAUACUUGAAUGGGAAAAAAUAAAAUCAAGCAGAGUUAGAGACUUAAAACACUAUGUGAGGCAAAUACACUUCCUAUUGGACACAGGCGAGACAUGAUUGAGCCUAUUUUUGUAAAAUGGACUACGUGGCCAAAAAGUGGCUAGAAAUGCAAACUCAACAAAGGUGACCUCUAAGACAUGGAAAAAUUACUUUGCAGAAAUGACUCAUUUGUAGAAAUGGUCUAUGUGGCCAAAAAAAUGGCUAAGCUUGCAGAUUCAACAGAAUGGACCUUAAAUAGAGAGGACACCUUGUUGUGAACUUAGGACUCUAAUACAUGGGUCAUUGAACCACUUUUGCGAAAAUGACCCCAUUUUGCAAGAACGACCGAUGUGGCCAAAAGCGGCUAGACAUGCAAAUUUGACAAGGACAUGCCUUAAAGUAAAGAGACACCUAAUUGUGAAUUCAAGACUCCAAACACAAUUAAAUAAGUCACUUUGCAAAAAUAGCCCUAUUUUGCAAAACGACUGAUGUGGACAAAAGUGGCUAGACAUGCAAGAUUAGGCUACGACCCUCGAAGCCAAGAACUUAAGACUCACUAGGAAGACCAGACCAUAUGUGGGCUGCCUACGUAUCCCGCCCCGAAAGACAAGAAUCGGGUAUGCGUAGUUCGGGAAGGUUGGAUACGGGUGAGAAUUAAAAAGCAACUGAUUUGGAGAAAAAUAUAUAUUUUUUGUCUUCUUUUUCUUUUUUUUUCUUUUUUUGAAAAAAAUGAUUGGAAAGUGCAAAAACUUUUUGAAUUUUUCAUUUUCAUUUUUUGGUCUUUUUCUUCAAAAAUAAAUAACCAAAUAAAAAAUUAUGAAAGAAGAAAAAAGAAAGAAAGUCAGAGAAACACUUAAAAAAAUUUCUAGAAAACCCUAGAGAUCCGACAGCUACAGUGCCAAAUAGUAACGUGAACAGUGCCAUAAUAGUGACUACAAAGCACUGUUCAUCACCACAAAACUGGCGACCUGAGCUGAUAUGGUCGCGAUGGCCGGCGACCAGCAUCUGUGCCAGCUGGUAUGCCUUCUUCAAGCAUGGCACAAGCAAACACAACUACAAACAUCAAUCCUCAACCUCUAGAUUACUCAAAAAUCUUGAAACCCAUUACUUUAAACACACCAACUAUGACAGCUGUUGCAACAACAAUCCAACCCAUUCAGAUGCGACGAGUUACUUUCUUGAAUGGCCAACCAAUUGUGAAAUUCACAGAAGCAGAAGUUCAGAGGAUGAAUGUUAUCGAAGGUCUUCAAUACGCAGUGGUCGAAAAAUUAUAUUAUGGAUCUCCGGAGAUUCAUGAGCUUCGUCGAAUUAUUCCGAUUCAAUGUGGAAUUAAAGGUGAGUGCAAUAUUGGAUUUCUUAGAGAUCGUCAUGUGUUAAUUCGAUUAACUCUAUGGCAAGACUUCCUCGAUUUCAUGUCGAAGAGUACGUAUUAUAUCAAAGCUAAAGAUGGAUACGAAUAUCAAUUGUGUACUCUUAUUUAUGAUCCAAAGUUUAAGGUGGGUGAAGAAACUCCGAUGGCGAUGGCAUGGAUCUCCUUUCCUGGACUACUGCCUACCUUUUAUGUUAAGGAAACUCUGUUUUCUUUGGCUACAGCUGUGGGAAGACCAUUGUGUCUUGACGCGGCUAUAAUAAAUAAAACAAGACCGAGUUGCGCGAGGGUAAAGGUUCUUGUAGAUUUAUUGGCUGAGUUACCAAAGAAAAUCCGAAUGGACAUCGAUGAAGAAAUUUAUGGAGGAAUAAGGACAGAGUGGGUCAAAGUCCAAUACGACAUGUUGCCGAAGUAUUGCAAGGAAUGUAAGCUUCAAGGCCACAAUGAAAUCGAAUGUUGGCGAUUGCAUCCCGUGUUAAGUGAAAAAUGAGGCAGUGUGGUAAAGGAUGUUGUUGCUGAAUCGAGGAACUGGGCUGCUGCAGCAGAAGAACAGGGAAACAAAAUAACACAUGAUUCUCCUUUGAUGUUCCUCACGAGUUGAAAAAUUGUCGGCAAUGUAGGUGAACAAUGGGAAGAGGUCAGAGACAAUCGUGAGAAGAUAAAUGCACAACUGGCAGUGACCCAUGCUAAAACUGGAACUGAAAUUGUUCCAGUUACAACUGAAACUUUGGAGAAUCAGCAGGUACAGGUUAAAAAUAAAUUUGUUGUUCUAGAGGUACAAGAGGAGGAGACGCAAGGAGAUAAGCAAUUGGCUUUGGUAGGAACUAGUAUUUACAAUUGCAGCUCGAUUCAAUCUCCUUCUGCAGCUAGGAAUGAUACUCCAAAAUCACCUAUCAGACUAAAUCCAAAGGCUGAUGCUUUUAAUCCUAAUGACAAAAGGACUAGGAGUGAUUCUUAAUUACAAAAGGAGUCUACUACUCAUUGGGUGAACAAGACAUUUGCAACUGGUAACUUAGUGACUACUAAUCGAUUUUGUCAGGAAAUGCCCUCACAAAAUGUUGAUACAACUAACUCAGUUGAUGAACCAAUGGAAAAAAGAGAGGUUGCAGCUAAGUGGAGGGAAUUUAUGGACUGCUCAAAUAGAAGAGUACCCUGAGGAAGGUGAAACUCCAGAUGCAAUGGAAGCAGACGAUGAAUAUACUGAGGAGGAUGCGGAAAAAGCAUAACACAAUGUUAAUGGGAAGGCCAAGGAGUCUACUGGUAUAAAGCCAAAUCAGAGUGGUGAAGCGGCCAUCAUGUUGCAGAACACUUUUCCUUCUCCUAAUUUAAAUCCUAAAAGUGUAAUGAAGGACACAAUAAAAGAGGCAAACAAAGACUGGAGCACUAACAAUUCAUCUCUGAAAAUUGCUGAUGCAUCUGAACCAGAUGCACCAAUUCCUUCAGCUGGAGAACAGAAUGGUAUUACCAUUGAUACUGGAGUAAAAGGUGAUAAUAAAGGAAUUUCAGCUGGGCAAGAUACAUAUCAGCAGGGUGAGACCACUCCCAAGGAAUACAUCAGUGGAACCAAAAGUAACAGGAAAAUGCAGAACACUGAACAAGCAGAAAAUCCUACACCCUCAGCUGAACAGAUGAAUGCAAUUAAUCAAGGUGGGAUUAAGUUUACUGCAACAGUGCUAACAAAUGAAGUAGUUCAACUGAACAAUGAAGCAAUUAUCAAUGCAGGUGAUGAACACUAUAUUGUAUUGCUAAAACAAAGUGCUGCUAAAUCAGAGGAGUUGCAGAAUGUAAAUCUGGGAAAAAACAAGUCAGCCAAAGGUAGAGUCAACAUUCAAGCAAAGGAAGUUCCAGCUGACCAAAUGAAUACAGUGGCACUCUAAAAAAACACUAAGAAUUAGGCUGUGCAAUUCGAGGACCACAAUGUAUGUGAGGGUAACAGGGAAAAUAAAGGAAAAGAUCUAGAUGAGAAGUCAACUGCACAAAACUUCAUAAAUGUAGCUAGACAAGGUGAUUUAUCACCAAGGCAAGUUGACAAAGGGAGAUCGAAUGAUAAGGGCAGGAAGAAGCAGCAGAAAUAUAGCACAUAUAUGCAGCGUACUGGUGUUCAAACGCGAAGAACAAUGACUAAAUCCAAUCUCUUACCAUGAAUGCACUCAUCUGGAACAUAAGGUCAGUAAAAACAAAGAAGGCAUUUCAAAGGACAAUCACAAUGCAUGGACAACACCAUUUUGAAUUUAUUAGAUUAAUAGAGCCAAAGCAGCAUGCUAGGAAGCUGGACAAAUAUAGGAGGAAAAUUGGAUUCUCACAAGCAUUUGGUAAUAUUACCAACAAGAUCUGGGCAUUUGUUGGAGAAGUUUAUGACGUUGACAUAUUGAUGGAUAUGGAGCAGCAGUUAACUUUAAAGUUACAUCAUGUUCACACACAAAAAGCCUUUAUCCUUACAUUGGUAUAUGCAAAAUGUGAUGCGAUAGAAAGGAUCGAACUAUGGGACUCAAUGUAUGCACUUGCAAAUGAUUUGUCUUUACCUUGGAUGGUUGGAGGAAACUCUAAUGUUAUAUGGGAUGAAGAGGAGAAAUUUGGAGGCUUACCAGUCCAUAUGAAUGAAAUCGUUGACUUUAGACACUGUGUAAACACUUGUAACCUAUAUGAUAUAGGUUUCAAGGGAAGUAUAUAUACAUGGUGGAAUGGACGAGCGGAAGGGGACUGUAUUUUCAAGCGACUGGACAGAUGUUUAACGAAUGUUGAAUUUCAGAUUUCUUUUCCACGUUUGGAGAUUACACACCUACCAAAAAUUGGAUCUGACCAUAGCCCUUUAUUAUUGGCAGCUUCUACUAACAAUGCUCCAGUCAAAAAACCCUUUAAAUUCCUAAACGUUUGGACAAAACAUGAAUCUUUUCCUGAUGUGGUCAAGGAAAACUGCACUGCCGACUUCAGCAAGUCCAUUCUAUCUCUUUAACUACAAAAUGAAGAAGUUGAAGAAAGCUUUAUCAACUUGGAGUAAGGCUACAUAUGGGGACAUUUUCCAAAAGAUUGUAAACCUUGAAGAAGUUGUCAUUGUUCAUGAAGCUCAAUUUGAAAUUAACCCAACACAACAGAAUCGACAAAGGCUCCAACAAGUUGAAGCAGAACUGAUAAGAUAUUUAGCGUUAGAAGAAGAGUUCUGAAAACAAAAGGCAGGGAUGGCUUGGUUCAAACACGGGGAUAUGAAUACUAAAUUUUUCCACGCUCACGUGAAUGGUAGGAGGAGGCAUUUGCAAUUGAACAGGAUCCAAAAUGAUGCAGGUGACUAGAUCAAAAAUGUCCCAGAAAUUGCAGAAGAAGCUGUCAAAAAUUUCAGCAAUCAAUUUCACGAAGGCAGUGUUCCGGAUACUUUCGGAAUUAUUGACAAUGUACCUCAUAUGGUUAGUAAUGAACAGAACAUGGGCUUACUAACAACACCUACGAGAGAAGAAGUGAAACAUGCUGUUUUUGGCUUAAAUAGUGAGAGUGUUGGAGGUCCGGAUGGCCUCACUGGGUGUUUCUUUCAUAAAUGCUGAGAUAUAAUUGGCGAAGACAUUUUUCAAAUGGUUAGUGCAUUUUUCUGUGGCCACGAACUACCAAGGUUUGUGACACACACGAAUCUGGUGCUAUUACCAAAAAGGAAGGAGGUGAACACAUUUUCAGAUAUGCGACCAAUAAGCUUGAGCAAUUUUGUUAACAAGAUUUUCUCAAGAGUUAUUCAUGAAAGUUUAGUUGGUCUUCUACCAAAUCUCAUCUCAGACGAGCAAUCUGGUUUUGUAAAGGGCAGAAGCAUUAUUGAGAAUGUGUUACUAACUCAAGAGAUUAUUACUGAUAUUAGACUGAGAACUAAAGUAGGACCAAACGUGGUCAUUAAAUUAGACAUGACAAAAACCUAUGAUCGACUAUCUUGGUUAUUUUUGACAAAUGUAGUGAGGAAAAUGUGUUUCGAUGAAAGGUUCAUAUCUCUAAUUUUUGGUAUAAUCUCUAACAAUUGGUACUCGGUACUGAUAAAUGGAUAGCCGUAUGGUUUUUUUAAAUCGACAAGGGGAGUAAAGCAAGGAGAUCCACUAUCGCCUACUUUAUUUAUCUUAGCGGCUGAAGCAAUGUCGAGAGGGUUAAAUGUGCUACAUCAUAAUCUAUACUUUUAUGGAUUUGGAAUGCCGAAAUGGAGUCCAAAAAUAAAUCACCUUACAUAUGCAGAUGAUACCAUAAUAUUCUCCUCCUCUUGUGAAAUAUCUGUACUAUUGAUUAUGGAUGUUUUGGCUGCUUACGAAAAGCAUCGGGACAGCUUAUUAACAAACAGAAAUCUACUGUUUACUUACACCACAAUGCUCCUGCAGAAGUGGUUAACAAAGUUCAGAGGAUCACAGGCAUAACACGACAAGAAUUCCCUUUUACAUAUCUUGGAUGCCCAGUUUUUUACACUAGGAGGAAAAUAGAAUUUUAUGAAGGGCUUAUCACCAAGACCAUGAACAAAAUGCAAUCUUGGAAGGGGAAGUUGUUAUCCAUUGGUGGAAGGGCUACAUUGAUUUCAUAUGUACUACAAUCCAUGCCAAUUCAUCUAUUAUCGGCAGUUAAUCCACCGGCUAGUGUCAUCAAUAAAUUGCAUAAAUUGUUUACGCAAUUUUUUUGGAGCAAUAUAGUUGGAGGUAGAAGUAGGCACUGGGCGUCAUGGGACACUUUGUGUCUUCCAUGUGAAGAAGGUAGAGUGGGAUUUAGAUCUCUCCAUGAUAUGGCCAAAGCUCUAUUUUGUAAACUACUGUGGAAGUUCAGAACGAUACCAAGUUUGUGGAGCUCAUUCAUGAGCCAAAAAUACUGCAAAAAGCUUAACCAGAUCAUUGUACCGUGGAGGAAAGGAUCUCAGGUAUGGAAGAGGAUGAUAGAAUGUCGACACAUUAUUGAACACUAAAUAGGAUGGCACACAAAAAUGAAGUCAUCACUUUUUUGGCAUGAAAAUUGGACUGGGCUUGGAGCCUUGUAUUUCCUCAUGAAUCCAGAUUUUGCAAUUGAUGAGUCAAUAAAUAAUGUAUAUGAGGUGACAAUAGAGGACUCAAGAGAUGUUGAUAAACUAUUGCAAACUCUGCCAGAGGAGUAUGUGGUUCACAUUGUGGAAAAUAUAAAGCCACCAGCAAUGUGAGCUACACUAGAUAAACCUUUUUGGAGAUUGGAAAAUAGAGGAAACUUCUCUGUCAGUACUGCUUGGAACUAUUUGAGGAGGAGGAAUGAUCAAAAGGUUGCUUACAAAAAUAUAUGGGUGAAAGGAAUGCCUUUUAAGAUUUCCUUCUUCUUAUGGAAGGUCCGGAAAGGUAAAUUACCACUAGACGACCUCAUGAAAAGGCUAGGCUACUGCACGCCUUCAAGAUGCUGGUGUUGCGAUCAACCAAACGAGGAAACUCUGUCCCACCUGUUCUUCACAUCACAAGCUGCAAGAAAGGUAUGGUCAUAUUUUUUAAUGAGGGCAGGAAUUAACAUGGAAGGGUUGUAUCUGCAUCGAGCAAUAGUUAAAUGUUGGACUGUUAAAGUUGUCCCAAGGUUGGAACCAAUUUUACAAGCCGUACCAGCUGUGAUAAUUUGGGAGUUGUGGAAAAGAAGAAACAGCUCCAAACAUGGCGAAGCUAUAUCAGUCAACAGAGUUAUCUAUCAAGCAUCAUCAGUGUUACAAUCAAUUAUUCAAGUUACAAAACCUACGAUGUUGAACGUCCCUCACAAAUGGACUGAACUAUUGCGAAGAAUGGAAAAUCAUACUCCAGAUCUGAAGUUCACAAAAGUGCUUUGGGAAUUUCUAGCCUCGGGGUGGAUCAAAGUAAAUACAUAUGGAGCGUCGAAGGGUAACCCAGGAAGAAGUUCAAUUGGAUUUGUCUUGAGGGACGAGGAAGGAGAUGUAAUGUAUGCUAGAGGAAAGGAAAUCCAUGAAACUACAAACAACGAGGCAGAAGCUUGGGCUAUAUUGGAGGGGUUGUCCUACUGUGUUCAUCAGCAGUACACACAAGUCCUUAUACAAACAGAUUCAAAGCUACUGAAAAAUGUUUUAGAUGGACUGUGGAUAGCUCCUUGGAAUGUGACUGAAAUUGUGGAGGAAAUAAAUGUGUUAAGGCACAGAUGCACUGUUACAUUCACACACAUACUGAGAGAAGGUAAUCGUUUAGCAGAUUACCUAGCUAAUUAUGCUUUGGACUUUGGAAACAUUGAAGUUGUUGGAUAUACAGAACUGGAGAUUUUUGGUAAGAAGAUACUCAAUAGUGACAAAAUGUAGUGUCCAUACUUGAGAGUGAAGCUUAAAAGGAACUGAACAGAUGAUAAAGAAAAAAAAGAGAAGAGGAAUAGCAGGGUACUAUGUCAGCAUAAGAGAGGAGUUCAUAUUUCACUGGUUCAAACAGAUAUAUAGGAGGCUGGGCAGGAAAAUUGGAAGUGCAAAGCUACUGUGUAUCAUCGAGCAGUUCAGGCGCAAAUAUUUAGACAUAAAAAUGUUUCUUAUAUGUGGAGGUGAUGCAAUUUUUGCAGCUGGGAGCCAGGCAGUGAGAUAUGCAGCUAAUCAUAGUAUUGCAGAUCAUUAGUUCCAAAUCCUUUGGGAAGAGGACAAGAUGAUCAGUUUUUAUUCUAACUGUUUGUUCUUUUUUGCAGAGAAAAUUAUUGUACUCCUGCAUUCCUAUUUGAUACACAUUCAAAGGGUGGUAUUAUCACUCGUUGCUCAUUCUGUUGAAGGAGUAACAAUAGGUGGCACAAGCAUGGACGCUAGGAUAUCACUACCUAGAGUUCAAAUUGACACGAUUCACAUGGACAUUUGGAUUUCAAAUAAGGGAAAUCUGGGUGCAUUUGGUAAUAAAGCACUAGUACAUCUGGCCACUACUCCAUCUCAAGAAUGGUUCAAACCAAUGGUUAAUAUAGAGGGCUGCUUCAGACUAUACAAUCAUGUAUUACUGUAGGGCAUAUGCAGGCAACAUCUGCCCAGACAAAACGAUAUUGUAAUCAUGCACUACCAUAUGCCAAACUUCCAAUUGGUGGUUUUAGUGCUAUGUACUAAAUCCAAUGGGAGGAAAGCUGUGGAAGGAACAAGUUUUGAUGCUGGAUAUACUUUGGAAAAGGCUAUAUCGGUACGAAACUAUGGGGACCUUUGGCAUGAUUCUUUUCAUGCUCAAGGUUACGAUUUCUCAAGAAACGUAAUCCAACUUGCAAUAAUGUGGAAUUUUCAAGAUUCGACUGAAAAGCAAAGCCACAAGAUACAUACACUGCCCAGUUUAUCUUUUGCGAGGCAGCAAUGCUCAGCUUGAAAUAUGGAAGAAUUGAACUGCCCAAAUUUGAUUUACAAAAUAUGUCCUGAAUAUGAGAGAUGCAGUAGAGAUAGAUGGAGAGCUAUAUUGAGAAUAAAUCAAGAGCAAGCUCAAAUGUUGUGGCAAUGGAAUGGUAGAAGAGCCAUACGUGACUGGAACCAUUGUGGACUCUUGGACUCAAUGGCAGUACCCAGGAUAGCUUAUGGGCAUUAUUGUCAUGGAAUUUUGGACAUAAUUGCUACAAUCUGGGCUAAAGUAUCAAUACAAUAUGUUAGUAUGUUAAUUCUGCAAGUAAUUUAUACAGAAACUACAACAGGACCAGGAAAGGAAAUACGCAAAAAUGGAAGCAGAAAUAUGUUGCUAACACAGUGCUCAACAGUGCACCUUCGUGGCCUUUUGUGCAAUCAUUAUGGAGAAUUGGAAUGCAAUGGCUAGUUUUUAAUAAUAGUAAAAGUCUUAGAUUUCAUCAUGUACUAUCAUUGGGGAGUUUUACACGAACCUUUGAUAAUAGAAUCUAUGUACGCAUCAAAGUUUAUUUCUUUCAAUUUGUAAGACCACCCAACGAUGUCUUGUUUUGUUGUUUUCCUUAUUUUUAUUAAUAAAAUAACUACUAGGUAUGCCUAGUAGUAUAAUUUUUAAAAAAAAAACUGGGCCCUACUUGCUUUUUUUUUUAAACUUCACCCUCUUUUUUUUAUUUACCCUCAACCAUCAUUGGUCCGCCAAAUGAUCCCUUUACCCUUGAAUAAUGCAACAUGUAGCACAUAGGAUGCAUUAGAAUAGUCUUUUAUUUUUUUGGGGACACUUGUCCUACACGGACCCAACUCCUGUGUUGAGUCCCCAAAGUCAAAUGCACGUGAUGCAAACAAACUUUCCUACUAGGGAUCCUGAAUGAGGCGAUGUUAUUCUAGGUUUAAACCUGGGGGUGUGUUCUAGACAUGGCUUACCCAAGGGGACAGCUCGAGCCGAGAUGGGGACAAUGUACUGGGAGCACAAAAGUCUGUCCGGCCUAGUUGCUGACCCAACCUCAUUCUAUUUGGUAUGACUUCUAACAAAAAAGUGGGCCACGUGUAUGUGUGCACCAUAUUUUUAGAUUACUCAGAAGGGAGGAGUAAGAAGACAGUUUAAUACAGUCCAAAUAAUAUCAAAGUGGUAAAUAAGCGGCAAUUAACACAUUAGGUCCACAAACACAGUAAUAUAAACAAACAAUAAAGUCAAGCAUAGAUCAUAUUAACAAGUUCGAAUUCUGAACCAUGAACCAGAGAUUCUGGGUUUUUGUCCCCAACAGAGUCGCCAGAGCUGUCACACCUCAUUUUUAUCCGAAAGGGAUCGGGAGUUUUUCCAAUUAAAGUGACAAUAAUCGAAAUAGAAUUUUUUAUUAGAUUUAGAGUCGCCACUUAGGAUAAUUUAUGGUGUUCCAAGUCACUGGUUUAUUUUAAAUCCCAAAUCGAGAAAAUUAACUCUAUUUAUGGUCUGCGAAUACAGAAGAUCGGGUAAGGAAUUCUGUUAUCCGGGAGAAGAUGUUAGGCAUUUCCGAGUUUUGCGGUUUUAGCAUGGUCGCUUUAAUCAUACCUAGCUUAAUCAAUUUGUCUAAUUACAUGUGUUUAGAACCUAUGUGCAUUUUACCUCUUUUAAUUAAGAAAUUAUCCUAAAACGUUUCACGCGUACGUGUACUCUUUUCAUUUGGCGCUUGAAGAAUCAUGUCACGCAUACGUGUACAUAAUUCACAAUACUUAAUUAUUUAAGAAAAACUUGGUCAAAUUUGUGCGAACGCAUACCUUGAUUUAUUUUGAAAAAAAUUGUAAUUAUGUCACGCGAACGUGUACACAAUUACGAUGAUAGAUUAAACAGCGCCUAAAGCAUUUCCUAUGAAUAUUCAUUUUAAAAACGUACUUGUGUCGCGCAAACGUGUACGCAAUUAAUAGUAUUUUAUUACUAUUAAGAUUGUUUCUCCCAAAGUUGCGCGAACGCAUACUUCGGCCUUAAUUUUGGAACCCAUAAUUAUGCCACGCAAAUGUCAAAAAUAUCCGAAAGAUUGACUACCCAAGUGUGAUCGGCCUAAAAUAUAUUCGUAGCGAUUCAACCCAAAAGCAAGAAUAAGCAGUAACAAAAUUAUCUUGAGUCUAAAUUCUUUUUAAUUUUAGUCUAAAAGACCACUGCCUUCUUAAUUCCAUUAACAAUUAAUUUCUAAGCCUAUUUUCUCAAUUCAGCUAAUAGUUUACUGAUUUGAAAUAAGAACAAAUCCACAUACUCAUUUCCAAUCUUUGAAGAGAAUUUCAAACAAACCCAACAUAAUAUUGCAAUCAGAUUCUCAUUCAAUAUACUAAUUCCAGAUGUCUAAUUAUAUAAGCACACGAAUGGAAAGAACUUCAACAAAAUUUUCAUUCAAAUCCCAAACACACAAGGAAGAAUAUUGAAAAUAAAUUAGGAACAAGGUUUAGAAAUGGACCUCAAACAGAGUUGACGAACUCCGAAGCGAAACCGUGGACGAGUUGAUCUCACCGAACCGAGCUAGGACUCACCUCAACAGCAUUACAGUCAAAUUCCAUAUUUGGGAAUCACAGUCCAAAUCGAAAAGAAGAAACGCAAUCUAUAUUUUUUGGUUUGGAUUUACUGGAAUUUUAAGAAGACAAAGUGUUGGAUUUAUGAAAUAUCAACGUGCGUUAAACAAAGAAUUAGAAGAAUUCAACGUGAGCGAAACAUCUUCCAUUUCCUUUUAAGAACAUAUUUUAAAAUUUGUGAGCUCAAAGUUAUGAACAAUAUGCACAAAUUUAUCAAUCAUCGCAGCUUAGUUAGGUCCUUCUCUUCAAGUGAUGUGUCGUUGCUUGUUGCUCUCUUUAUUUGUUAAGGAUUUUGGAAAUACAGUGGGUAAUGGAACUGAAAAAUAGGGAUUUAUUUACUAGAUUUUAAUUUGGGGAAGAUAACUCAUUUUUGGGAGUGUUUCAAUUUCGGAAAUUGGUUAGGCAGAGGUCUGUGUCGCUGGUGUUUUGGGAGUUGCGGCUAGAAUGUUGAAGAGAGGUGGGGUGCGGCUGGGUUCUUUAGAAUUAGGAAGUAUGGCUGGUUUUUCCUCUCAAAAUCAGAGUGAGAACCAUGGAAAUUUUUUCAGGAGGUUGGCAGCCGUUCUUCA